This 253-nucleotide ribosomal RNA is filed under the name uncultured bacterium. RNAcentral describes it as "partial 16S ribosomal RNA". It matches the Rfam family "Bacterial small subunit ribosomal RNA", at positions 524 to 776 of the family's 1533-position model. The record is from RNAcentral.
UACGUAGGGGGCAAGCGUUGUCCGGAAUCAUUGGGCGUAAAGCGCGCGCAGGCGGCUUCUUAAGUCAGGUGUGAAAGCCCACGGCUCAACCGUGGAGGGCCACUUGAAACUGGGAGGCUUGAGUGCAGGAGAGGAGAGCGGAAUUCCACGUGUAGCGGUGAAAUGCGUAGAGAUGUGGAGGAACACCUGUGGCGAAGGCGGCUCUCUGGCCUGUAACUGACGCUGAGGCGCGAAAGCGUGGGGAGCGAACAGG